Molecule: ribosomal RNA, 228 nt
Filed under: Salmonella enterica subsp. enterica serovar Typhimurium
Lineage: Bacteria; Pseudomonadati; Pseudomonadota; Gammaproteobacteria; Enterobacterales; Enterobacteriaceae
Description: partial 23S ribosomal RNA
Rfam family: Bacterial large subunit ribosomal RNA
Source: RNAcentral
UUAGUGGAAGCGUCUGGAAAGGCGCGCGAUACAGGGUGACAGCCCCGUACACAAAAGCGCAUGUGCUGUGAGCUCGAUGAGUAGGGCGGGACACGUGGUAUCCUGUCUGAAUAUGGGGGGACCAUCCUCCAAGGCUAAAUACUCCUGACUGACCGAUAGUGAACCAGUACCGUGAGGGAAAGGCGAAAAGAACCCCGGCGAGGGGAGUGAAAAAGAACCUGAAACCGU